ACGUAUUGCGUAAUAUUAUUGACUGUCUAGGGUUGAAAUUGAACAUCGCGCGCUGUCAAUCUAAUUAUUGUCAAACAAGCUGUUCAAUAAAAUUGAAACGUAAUAUUGACUAUAAAAUGGCUCGUCUAGGCGGCCGGUAUGGUCGCUGUAGUCCAUGGCC
Long non-coding RNA from Aricia agestis (brown argus), 160 nucleotides. RefSeq lists it as uncharacterized. The record is from RefSeq and is a predicted model, not a curated record. The transcript is spliced from 3 exons. Lineage: Eukaryota; Metazoa; Arthropoda; Insecta; Lepidoptera; Lycaenidae.